GUACUCGCUUCGGCAGUACAUAUACUAAAAUUUGAACGACACAGAGAUUAGCAUGGCCCCUGUGUGGGGAUGACACGGAAAGUCUCACGACUUUCCAUAUUUUA
Molecule: small nuclear RNA, 104 nt
Organism: Danaus plexippus (monarch butterfly)
Lineage: Eukaryota; Metazoa; Arthropoda; Insecta; Lepidoptera; Nymphalidae
Source: RefSeq, a predicted model, not a curated record